Molecule: ribosomal RNA, 468 nt
Filed under: uncultured bacterium
Lineage: Bacteria
Description: partial 16S ribosomal RNA
Rfam family: Bacterial small subunit ribosomal RNA
Source: RNAcentral
GACGAACGCUGGCGGCGUGCUUAACACAUGCAAGUCGAACGGAAAGGCCCUGCUUUUGUGGGGUGCUCGAGUGGCGAACGGGUGUGUAACACGUGAGUAACCUGCCCUUGACUUUGGGAUAACUUCAGGCAACUGGGGCUAAUACCGGAUAGGAGCUCCUGCUGCAUGGUGGGGGUUGGAAAGCUUCGGCGGUUGGGGAUGGACUCUCGGGUUACCAGCUUGUUGGUGGGGUAGUGGCUUACCCAGGGUUUGACGGGUAGCCGGCCUGAGAGGGUGACCGGGCACAUUGGGACUGAGGUACGGCCCAGACUCCUACGGGAGGCAGCAGUGGGGAAUAUUGCACAAUGGGCGGAAGCCUGAUGCAGAAACGCCGCGUGCGGGAUGACGGCCUUCGGGUUGUAAACCGCUUUCGCCUGUGACGAAGCGUGAGUGACGGUAAUGGGUAAAGAAGCACCGGCUAACUACGUG